AACGAACGCUGGCGGCAGGCCUAACACAUGCAAGUCGGACGAGAAGGUUCCUUCGGGAACUGGAGAGUGGCGCACGGGUGAGUAACGCGUGGGGACCUACCUCUUAGUGGGGGAUAACGGUUGGAAACGACCGCUAAUACCGCAUACGCCUUCGGGGAAGAUUAUCGCUAAGAGAUGGACCGCGUUGGAGUUAGAUAGUUGGUGAGGUAAGUGGCGUCACCAAGUCAGCGAUCCAUAGCUGGUUUGAGAGGAUGAUCAGCCACACUGGGACUGAGACACGGCCCAGACUCCUACGGGAGGCAGCAGUGGGAAUAUUGGACAAUGGGGGCAACCCUGAUCCAGCCAUGCCGCGUGAGUGAAGAAGGCCUUCGG
RNAcentral lists this ribosomal RNA (372 nucleotides) under uncultured bacterium. Its description in RNAcentral is "bacterial SSU rRNA". It matches the Rfam family "Bacterial small subunit ribosomal RNA", at positions 29 to 421 of the family's 1533-position model. The record is from RNAcentral.